UACGUAGGGGGCAAGCGUUGUCCGGAAUCAUUGGGCGUAAAGCGCGUGUAGGCGGUUCGGUAAGUCUGCUGUGAAAGUCCAGGGCUCAACCCUGGGAUGCCGGUGGAUACUGUCGAACUAGAGUACGGAAGAGGCGAGUGGAAUUCCCGGUGUAGCGGUGAAAUGCGCAGAGAUCCGGAGGAACACCAGUGGCGAAGGCGACACGCUGGGCCAUACCUGACGCUAAAGCGCGACAGCAUGGGGAGCAAACGGG
Molecule: ribosomal RNA, 253 nt
Filed under: uncultured bacterium
Lineage: Bacteria
Description: partial 16S ribosomal RNA
Rfam family: Bacterial small subunit ribosomal RNA
Source: RNAcentral